AUGUUCCGGAGAAUGUUGGACCGGUUUUUCGCGCGCGUCCGUGGUCGAAAACCGCGCAAGCACCCCAUCGGACAUCGCGGGUUCAGCUUUCGUCGCUCGCGGCGCUCCACGCGGGACGAACGGGAACUACGCGCUCGUCGCUGGAACACACGAAUGGACUCCUACCACAUGGACGUUCACGAGUCCCUCUUCCCGGACCCCGGGAAUUCAUCCAGGAAAACCGGUUCGCAACCCUCGUCCUCGCGAAGAACCAGCGCCGAUUCUCCCGAGUUUUCAGCGCGGAGAUUCGGUUCCGGUUCCCAGCUCUCCGGGAAAACCGGUUCCGAUUGCUCCGCAAGAAAACCCAGUUCCGGAUCCCAAUUCUCCGGAAAAACUAGUUCCGAUUGCUCCGCAAGAAAACCUAGUUCCGGAUCUCAGUUCUCUGGAAAAACUGGUUCCGACUGCUCCGCUAGGAAAACCAGUUCUGGCUCGGAGUUUUCAAUUAGAAAAAGUAGUUCCGAGUCUCAGUUUUCAAAAUUUUCAGGCGCGGACGAUUAUGGGAUAAAAGCUGGUUUCACUUGCGAGUCCACAGGAAAAAGUAGUAGUUCCCGAAUGUUUGUGCGGAAAUCCAGUUCGACCUUCCAGAUUCUCGCCAAAAGUCCCGUUUCCGCCUCGGUGAAUCGUGCCAAUUUCAACGUGGAUCAAGAGAGCAGCACUGGAUUCAGGUUCUCGGAGAAAGGUGGCUCCGACUUCGACUCGAAAGACAAUGGUUUUGGAUCCGAAUCUGCCGGAAGAAAAACUAGUUCCGGAUCCAAAUCUGCCGACAGAAAAACUAGUUCCGGAUCCGAGUCCGGUGCGAGAAAGACUAGUUCCGGCUCGGAGUCUUCAAAAGGUAAAACUAGUUCCGGUUGCGGAUUUUCUGCCAAUAGAACUAGCCCUGAUUCUAAGCCGCAAUUCGCCGCAGGCGGGAACCUCGGCACGCGCUCUGAGGGGGUGGUUACCCCGGGUGGGACGAAGAGGAAGGAAAAGAAGACGGCGAUGAUCAUGAGGGAGGAGAGGAUGAUGAAGAGGACAGCCGGGAUCUGGAGAAGCGUAAGCGCUUGCUCCAGAUGUGCUCCAAGCAUGCAUCAGAAUAUCGUUCAUCAGACUUGGAACAUUUAA
RNAcentral lists this long non-coding RNA (1140 nucleotides) under Bemisia tabaci. RNAcentral describes it as "lncRNA ENSSSA2NGG007013". Lineage: Eukaryota; Metazoa; Arthropoda; Insecta; Hemiptera; Aleyrodidae. The record is from RNAcentral.